CAGGGAGACAACAAAAUGUUUAAUAUUAUUAUUUUGUCACCUUAGGUCGAUCGGUAUCUCACGUUCUUAAUUUGUUAAGAAUUUCAUUUCCUAAGUUUUUCUAGGUCACACCCAUUAUUUUUCCUGGGCCAUUAGCUCAGGUGGUUAGAGCGCACCCCUGAUAAGGGUGAGGUCCCUGGUUCAAGUCCAGGAUGGCCCAUAUCUCUAUGUUGGGGGUAUAGCUCAGUUGGUAGAGCGCCUGCUUUGCAAGCAGGAUGUCAGCGGUUCGAGUCCGCUUACCUCCACUGAUUACCACCUCUUACAUAACUGGUAAAAAGGAAAUGUUUUGAGUUGUGAUCAUUAUUCUGAACGAAUCUAGCUUCCUAAUGAAAUCAUUAAGAUGCUGGAUUCAUUGAAUUAAUUUCAUUGUUUUCAGGGAACCUUGACAACUGCAUAGAUUAUUUUUUAAAGACAAUAAGCAUCUUUAAUGAUGCAGAUUUAUUAUUUGUGCGAAUGCAUUAAUAACAAUUCUAUUAAGCUGAUGCUUCAAUUUUUUGAAGUUAUU
Molecule: transfer RNA, 544 nt
Filed under: uncultured Prochlorococcus sp.
Lineage: Bacteria; Bacillati; Cyanobacteriota; Cyanophyceae; Synechococcales; Prochlorococcaceae
Description: partial 16S-23S ribosomal RNA intergenic spacer
Rfam family: tRNA (bases 212-284)
Source: RNAcentral